Molecule: ribosomal RNA, 246 nt
Filed under: uncultured Bacillota bacterium
Lineage: Bacteria; Bacillati; Bacillota
Description: uncultured Firmicutes bacterium partial 16S ribosomal RNA
Rfam family: Bacterial small subunit ribosomal RNA
Source: RNAcentral
CACACGGUAAACGAUGAAUGCUAGGUGUAGGAGGUAUCGACCCCUUCUGUGCCGGAGUCAACACAAUAAGCAUUCCGCCUGGGGAGUACGGUCGCAAGAUUAAAACUCAAAGGAAUUGACGGGGGCCCGCACAAGCAGCGGAGCAUGUGGUUUAAUUCGAAGCAACGCGAAGAACCUUACCAGGUCUUGACAUCCAGUUAAAGCUUGUGAAAGCAAGUGUCCCUUCGGGGGAACUGAGACAGGUGG